GGGAACACUGGGAAAAUAGGGUUCGUGGGUGGUUUGCGGGUGGUUCGUGGGUUACUCGUUGUACGAGAUUAUCGUGAUCUAACAGUGGUUUUCGCGUGGAAAGCUUUGACGAAGGUGGUUACAUGUGAAACAUGUGUCGUGUUGAGGUUAAUAUAUAUUCGUUUUCGUUUUUGUUGAAUGUUGCAUGGACGACUGUUUCCCUAUUACUUUUGAUGUGGUCCCCCAUGUUUGAAGUGGUGAUGUGGUCCCCCAUGUUUGAAGUUCUGUCGGAGUGUGUUUUUGAAGCAUGUUCUGUCGGAGUGUGGUCCCCCAUUUUGUUGUGCUUUUAAAUUUGUUUAAGUUUUCU
Molecule: long non-coding RNA, 346 nt
Filed under: Vigna radiata
Lineage: Eukaryota; Viridiplantae; Streptophyta; Magnoliopsida; Fabales; Fabaceae
Description: long non-coding RNA (VRAD_LNC014643)
Source: RNAcentral